ACUCUUCACAUCACGGGAGUGACAGUGACUCAGACGACAUUGGGAGGAAACCUGACGGUGAUAACGAACCCCAAGUGUCUCUGUGAUCAGCUGAUCACAACCAUCCUUUUACGAUGCAAACAAAUCGUUAAUGAGUGUACUCGACUUCUACAAGGGGACAGUCCACCAGAUGACGCAUUUCAAACAGUUCUAACAAGAAUGGAAACCCUUAAACGCUGUCUGGAAUGCUCAAGAGGGAGGUUGAUGGAUGCAACAGCAGUACAAGACAUCCUUGAAAACAUUGAGAAAUAUACUCAGGAGGUCAAGGAAAUGCAACAGGGGGCUCAACAAGGUACUAACUGCAGACUGACAAGUGAAAUCUUGUUUUUCAGGCCUUUAUAAUUACAAAGACAAACUGCAUACUACAUGCUAAUUCAUUACCUAUUUGUUUAAUUAUGUGGGAAUUACACUCAUCAACACAUGGAGGUGUGUGUUUACGCAGAACUGUUAUGAAGGUGUCGUUAUGUAAGUUUUGCUUUGUUCAGCAGCUGUUCGGUUGCUUUAUCAAUAAUUGUUAAAACGUCUAUGCCUCUGCUCUUUAGGGGACUAAUGUUUUAGCUAGCUAGCUGCGCUAAUACAGCGUGACAGUACGGUCACUUAGAACUUUUCAGCGGACCUAAUUUAGUUCCCGUUUUCUUUGCCACCCUGUAUAUGAAGAAGUAAUUGCACUUUAGUGAGCAGAGCGAGGUAUAUGUUGAAACCUGUUACGCUCUGUUGCUGUUUAGUGUACUGUAAUAUGUAUUUUGAGACUUAAAACUAUUUCACUAAUUUCAUGUCAUUUGUUUUAUUUCCACAGUGCUUAUAGACACAAGCUGUUACGGCGAUAAAGAGGCACGUGAUGGCUGGACUGUCAUGCGAGGUGGUGUCAGCAAAAGUAAAACUCACAAGUCAUAGAGUCAAUUGACUCUCUGCAUAUUCGUUGAACCGAGGGCUGCUUGAAGUGCUGUUUCUGUUGUAAUAGAGGUGAGGUCAGGAAAAUAACUUUUCUUAAAUAUGACAUAUAUAGAUGCUUCAGUCGAACAAGUCUGUCACAAACAAGUAAUUCCUUUUCCUAGAGAUGUGUUUUGAUCAUUUAUCAUUAUCAAACAUGUGAUCACAUGACUUUUACUGGCUAAUGAAUUAUGCCUUCUACAUUAAACAAUUACUGUCUUUUUGUCCUCUACAGAUUAACGUGCACACGCAUCAUAGACCAGAAGCACAAGUGGCCAUUGGUUUUAAUGCUGUCAACUAGGGCUCAAGCAUGCAUUAAAGAGUCCAUUUACCUAAGAUGAUGUGGUUGUUAUUGCUCCUGAUACAAAGUUUUCUGUGUGUACACUUAAUGUCACUUUUCACAAAGACAAAUUCUGUAACAUCUGUUUUCUCUGUUUGAUUAUGGCAGGUAAUGUUUAUAUUAGUGUUUAGAAAGAUAAAAGAAGGUACAGUACUGGGUUGUAUAGCACCGACGCCUGUGUGGUUACGUGUAACACUUGACUAUUUUAAAUAGAUUUCAGUAUUCCCCAGUAAAUAAAAAAAAUUCUACAAAUGUCCA
This 1567-nucleotide long non-coding RNA is filed under the name Betta splendens (Siamese fighting fish). RNAcentral describes it as "lncRNA (ENSBSLG00000004948.1)". The record is from RNAcentral. Lineage: Eukaryota; Metazoa; Chordata; Actinopteri; Anabantiformes; Osphronemidae.